GGAACAGCCCUGGUUUUCAGCCCUGUGAUGUGAGUGACAGAACAAGACUCAUUGUCCCUGCCUCUCCAGAACGUGAGCAGUUUUUACACUGUGAAAUUGGAUGUAACUUCUGUUCUUCUCUUGUGCAUUUGGAGACAUCUUGGUAUGUGCUAGUAUAUCUGCAUCAAGCAAGAAAAAUGGGAGCACUGGGGAUAUUUUCGGCCUUCAUGUUUGAAUAAGAAGUCAGAUGAAUUGCCAGGCAUAUGUAUGUGGAUUAUGGAUACAGAAGAAAAUUCCCAUUGUAUAAAGAAGAAUAUAUGCUGAGCACUGAAGCAGAGAAAAUGAGAGGUGUUUCUACCAAAUGAAAUAAAUAAAGUAACCAUACACCUCUAAGAAACUUGUAGGUGUUUGAGACCUUGUGAUAAAGCUACCACAUUAAGGCAGAAUCAUUGAAUCCUUAGAGUUGGAAGGGAUCUCUGAAGGCCAUAUAGUCCAAUUCCCCUGCAAUGACCAGGGAUACCACAGCCACAUCAGAUUGCCCAGGGCCUGAUCCAGCCUCGCCUGGAAAGUCUCCAGGGAUUGGGUAUCAACGACAACACUAGAUGCUAUAAAACGUCAGUGUUACAGAAACAAAAGUUUGAAAUCUGUAACAUCCCACACAUGAAAGGAGGAAAAGUGACAAGAUUUGCAAAUCCCCCAUGAGGUUAAGGUGAAAUGACACUCAAGUGCCAGUCUGAGAAACAUUUCAUCCACUUCUGACUUAGUGUCAUCUCAAACCAGCGUUGGCUUCUGUGACCAGGUGGAGCAGUUAAGCAAAGAUCUGUAUCUCCUUGGGAACUGGAAGAAGUAAUGAGGAAAGACAGAGUCAUGAGCUGGAUAAGAAAGUAUUUCAGUGUUCAAAGAAUACGACUGUCAAUGGACAUCAAGAGCCAUUACAUCAGCCAGCACCAAUUCUGUGAAAUCAGACCAUGGAAGCAGAAGGAGGUCAAUUUCUUCAUCCUUGGCAUCCUACCAGUACCUUUCCAAGCUACUUAUCUUCCAUUUUGCCUACGAGGAGUGUCCUUGCCACAUGCUUUUAGACUGACUAUGUUCUUGCCUGCACCUGGUCAGUGCAGUGAAUAGGGGCACUGGUGGAUGCUUUCCUAGGCUGAGCUUAGUUCAGUGUUUCCCUUAGUGUGCUGGAGGGGAACAGAAUUUUUUCGUGGAAAAGCAUCUGGAGAUUCCUCUCAAAUAAACAUGGUUGGAAAUUACAAAUUUUAACUGUUGGGUGGUGAUUAGAGGGGUGAAAAGAGCAUAUUACUAAAAGAAUGAAAUCUAAGAAAGGUACUUGUGCUUACUCCUUUAACUUACUACUUUUACUCAGCUAAAUUUUCAGUUAUUUCAGGUGCUGAAGCUGUGUAAAAUGGGCUUCAUAAACAAAGCUGAAGCUCCUGCUUGAUUUGAUUACUAGGCAUACUCACUUAGUGGUUUGACCAGUUGAUGUCAUUCAAUACAGUCAUUAAGAUACAGACUUAAUUUAAAUUGUAAAUAUUAUUUGACAAUUGUGUUGGUUAAUUUCUAAUAGAGUAAUAUAAUUCGUAGCCAUUUAGCUUUACCUAUACUAUUGUAUAUUUUUCACUAGCACUAAUAAUGCUCAUGACAGUAAGAAGGUUUCACCAUGAUUUUAAGUAAAUAAUAUAAUCAGAAAGGGCUUAAAAAGGUAGAUAGGUGAGAUGAUUUACUUAAGAGAUCUUUGUUUUUCAUCAGGGAAGCUUUCUGGCCUGAAGACAGGACGUCUUAAAGCUUCAUCUGACAAUCAGAAAAUAGCCAACAGAUGGAGAUAACUAAAGGUGUGUUAAAGAGGCAAGGGAUGGACAUCAACAUGACCAUCCCCAAAUAAAUGAGUGGAUCAUUACAAAUUCCCAGCACUUCUGUACACCUUCACUUGGAAAGAACAGAAGGAUUGAGAACUACUACUGCCCUAAAGUUCAGGAUGGGGAAGUCUCAGUGUUGAAGCACAGUCAGAUUAUCCAUGCCUAAAAAUGGAACUUUAAAAGCCAAACAUUUUAAAGGAACUAUCAAGAUGAAAAGGUUUUCUUUUUUUUUUUUUUUUUUUUAAUGCUGUUUUAAAACAGCAAUUUCACGCUUUUGAUAGGCUGCUGAAUGCCCAAAGAUAUAAAAUCCUCCACUCCACAACAUAAAUGUAGUGCCAAUUAUGUCUGG
Molecule: long non-coding RNA, 2181 nt
Filed under: Gallus gallus (chicken)
Lineage: Eukaryota; Metazoa; Chordata; Aves; Galliformes; Phasianidae
Description: lncRNA (ENSGALG00010009723.1)
Source: RNAcentral